This 457-nucleotide ribosomal RNA is filed under the name uncultured bacterium. Its description in RNAcentral is "bacterial SSU rRNA". It matches the Rfam family "Bacterial small subunit ribosomal RNA", at positions 340 to 789 of the family's 1533-position model. The record is from RNAcentral.
UACGGAAGGCAGCAGUGGGGAAUAUUGCACAAUGGGCGCAAGCCUGAUGCAGCCAUGCCGCGUGUAUGAAAAAGGCCUUCGGGUUGUAAAGUACUUUCAGUCGUGAGGAAGGUGUUAAGGUUAAUAACCUUAGCAAUUGACGUUAGCGACAGAAGAAGCACCGGCUAACUCCGUGCCAGCAGCCGCGGUAAUACGGAGGGUGCGAGCGUUAAUCGGAAUUACUGGGCGUAAAGGGCACGCAGGCGGUUAAUUAAGUUGGAUGUGAAAUCCCCGGGCUUAACCUGGGAAUGGCAUUCAAGACUGGUUAGCUAGAGUCUUGUAGAGGGGGUAGAAUUCCAUGUGUAGCGGUGAAAUGCGUAGAGAUGUGGAGGAAUACCGGGUGGCGAAGGCGGCCCCUGGACAAAGACUGACGCUCAUGUGCGAAAGCGUGGGGAGCAAACAGGGAUUAGAUACCCGU